Molecule: transfer RNA, 72 nt
Filed under: Anguilla anguilla (European eel)
Lineage: Eukaryota; Metazoa; Chordata; Actinopteri; Anguilliformes; Anguillidae
Description: tRNA-Gly
Source: RNAcentral
GGCACGGUGGCACAGCGGUUAGUGCUGUUACCUCCCAAAAAGGAGGAUCUGGGUUUGAGUCCCGGCUGGCUG